RNAcentral lists this ribosomal RNA (253 nucleotides) under uncultured bacterium. Its description in RNAcentral is "partial 16S ribosomal RNA". It matches the Rfam family "Bacterial small subunit ribosomal RNA", at positions 524 to 776 of the family's 1533-position model. The record is from RNAcentral.
UACGUAGGGGGCAAGCGUUGUCCGGAUUUAUUGGGCGUAAAGAGCGUGUAGGCGGCCAGACAGGUCAGCUGUGAAAACUCGAGGCUCAACCUCGAGACGCCGGUGGAAACCGUAAAGCUAGAGUCCGGAAGAGGAGAGUGGAAUUCCUGGUGUAGCGGUGAAAUGCGCAGAUAUCAGGAGGAACACCCGCGGCGAAAGCGGCUCUCUGGGACGGUACUGACGCUGAGACGCGAAAGCGUGGGGAGCAAACAGG